This is a long non-coding RNA of Echinops telfairi (small Madagascar hedgehog), 491 nucleotides long. RefSeq lists it as uncharacterized. The record is from RefSeq and is a predicted model, not a curated record. The transcript has 3 exons. NCBI's taxonomy places the organism in Eukaryota, Metazoa, Chordata, Mammalia, Afrosoricida, Tenrecidae.
CCGUGGGAGAGGAGCCGAGCACCCGGGUAUUCACUGGUAGACGCCUUGGCGGAGAGGGAUGCAGAUCCAUCCGCCAUCCUGGCGGAAGAACCGGAGAUGGCGAUGGAGACCUAGUGCGCCUGAUUUUCCCCACCGGUGCUAGGCCGGAAGGGGUCACCUCCUGUGGUUGACUCCGCUGAUUCACAAGUCCUCACCCCCUCAAUCGAGUCCCCGUUGCUCUGCCGGUGGGCUCCGGCAGGUGGCGCCCAACGUGAAAGCUCGAAAACACGGGAAACAGGUAAAGGAAAACUGCCCGGUGAACAAAGACGCGUCAAAUAAAAAGAUUCCGGAGCUGAGAGGUUGCCAACCCGACUUCUGAAACGGAGAGAUGGCUAAGAAGUCCCGCACUCAGAAGUUUCUGCAAGAGUUUGAAAAAUUUUCCCUUUUCCUUAUGCUGAAGAAGAAGGCAGGCAUAUUAAUAAUUAUAGCUUGGGGGUGAGGGGUUCUCUAUU